RNAcentral lists this transfer RNA (74 nucleotides) under Gossypium barbadense (sea-island cotton). It matches the Rfam family "tRNA". Rfam says of the family: Transfer RNA (tRNA) molecules are approximately 80 nucleotides in length. Their secondary structure includes four short double-helical elements and three loops (D, anti-codon, and T loops). Lineage: Eukaryota; Viridiplantae; Streptophyta; Magnoliopsida; Malvales; Malvaceae. The record is from Rfam by way of RNAcentral. RNAcentral also lists the same sequence under 3 other names.
GGGAUUCUUGUUCAAUUUGUCAGAGAACCGCCCUGUCAAGGCGGAAGUUGCGGGUUCAAGUUCCGUCAGUCCCG